This 253-nucleotide ribosomal RNA is filed under the name uncultured bacterium. RNAcentral's name for it is "partial 16S ribosomal RNA". It matches the Rfam family "Bacterial small subunit ribosomal RNA", at positions 524 to 776 of the family's 1533-position model. The record is from RNAcentral.
UACGAAGGGGGCUAGCGUUGCUCGGAAUUACUGGGCGUAAAGCGCACGUAGGCGGAUCAGUAAGUUAGAGGUGAAAGCCCAGGGCUCAACCCUGGAACUGCCUUUAAUACUGCUGGUCUGGAGUCCGAGAGGGGUGAGUGGAAUUCCGAGUGUAGAGGUGAAAUUCGUAGAUAUUCGGAAGAACACCAGUGGCGAAGGCGGCUCACUGGCCCGGUACUGACGCUGAGGUGCGAAAGCGUGGGGAGCAAACAGG